RNAcentral lists this ribosomal RNA (428 nucleotides) under Verrucomicrobiota bacterium. RNAcentral describes it as "Verrucomicrobia bacterium partial 16S ribosomal RNA". It matches the Rfam family "Bacterial small subunit ribosomal RNA", at positions 355 to 776 of the family's 1533-position model. The record is from RNAcentral. Lineage: Bacteria; Pseudomonadati; Verrucomicrobiota.
UAGGGAAUCUUCCGCAAUGGACGAAAGUCUGACGGAGCAACGCCGCGUGAGUGAAGAAGGAUUUCGGUUCGUAAAACUCUGUUGUUAGGGAAGAAAAAAUGUAUAGUAACUAUAUAAAAAGAGACGGUACCUAACCAGAAAGCCACGGCUAACUACGUGCCAGCAGCCGCGGUAAUACGUAGGUGGCAAGCGUUGUCCGGAAUUAUUGGGCGUAAAGCGCGCGCAGGUGGUUUAGAAAGUCUGAUGUGAAAGCCCACGGCUCAACCGUGGAGGGUCAUUGGAAACUAAUAAACUUGAGUGCAGGAGAGAAAAGUGGAAUUCCUAGUGUAGCGAUGAAAUGCGUAGAGAUUAGGAGGAACACCGGUGGCGAAAGCGGCUUUUUGGCCUGCAACUGACACUGAGGCGCGAAAGCGUGGGGAGCAAACAGG